AUUGAGAACAGGAGUGAAAAGAACACGGUUCGUAUGAACGUGUUGAUUCUCCCCAGUUUGCUGCGUAUACGUAACCAUCAAGUUCUUGUUUUGAGGAAAAGGCAGGCCCCAGCUUACUCGAUCACUCUUGAACAAUCCACAACAGAAGGUAGGCACUGCAACUUCUUCAUCCUGGAUUACCAAUACACCAGAAUUUGGACCCUCGGGAGGCGGUGAUGAAAGAGCUGAAGGAUCUCUUAGAUACAUCGAAAGAGGCCUUGUCACAUACAUUUCCUCUCAAACUUUUCUCUGCGUAUAGUGACCAAGCAAAAAUUCUUUAUCUUAUCCUUAAUUUCAAAUGUUGUUUUAGGAGUCAAAUCAUAAUUUGUCAAACUAUGGAGAAUUAAAAUGUAAUUUUUAUAUAUCAGGACCAAACUGAAAUUUUAUAAUUUUCAACCGUGAAACUACUUUAUCUAGAAUUUCUAGCAAAGAUUGUUCCAAAUUUCUUAGCCAUUCUUGCCCAUGACACAUCAAAGAAACAAAUCAACCUCAUGUUAUUAUCCCUAACAAAAUCAUUCAAAAUCAAUUAAUUUCAACAUUAACCCAUAUUAAUCAUCAAUUAUUGAAACUUAAAAACAUAAAUUUCAAAUAUUUAGAAACAUUAACACGUUAAAAAAAAAAAUGUAAUGAGCAACAAAAACAAAAAUCAUGUAUAUCAAAUUACGAUCUCAACACAAAAACGUAAUUUAUCCAUCACUCAUGAUCCUUUUUUUCUUUUCCUUCCUCCUCUUUUUCUUUUGGUUUUCUCCGUUUCUGGUUUCUUCUUCUUUUUUCUUUUUUUAUCUCUCUCUAUAUAUCAAUCUAUGUGAAACGACUGACGUGUCCCCAACCAUUACCAACCACAUAAGGUUGUUCAAAUCGCGAUUUUAACACGGCACGGAAAAUACAAAACAAACUCGGAUCGUAAAAACAGAUCGUAAAAUCGUAAGGAAUUUUAAAAUAUAUUAACAAAAAAUUCAUGAUUCAAAUAAAAAUUCAUACAUAUACUAUACAAUUAAUUUUUUCGUAAAAUCAUUCUAUCAUUCCAUUAAUAAAAUCAAUUUCAUCAUUCCAUCAUAUACUAAAAUAGCAUCUUAAAACCAUUCCAUCAUUCCACAAUGCCAUACAGACACAACUAAUUCAAUCCAAUCCAAUCCAAUAGUCCACAGUAUACUGUUCCAUCAAUUCCAUUUAAUUCAUUCCAUCAAUUCAAGGGACAGAAAAACAUUAUAAAUGGACAAAUUACAGGACCGGCAAAAUCAUUCCAUCAAAAAUGUAUAAACGCCUGAAGCAGAAAAAUUAUUUGAUUAACAAUUGUAGCUAUGAAUUCCAGCAAGGUUCAUACAACAUCUACUCUCCAUUAUGCUAAACUUCUCAAGAAAAGAAAAUUAUGACUAUAUAUGAAGGGUUAGCACUACAACUCAAAGAAUCUUGUAGAUAAAAGAAGAUGGAAAGCCUAAAGAAUGAACGAGCAGUACAAAUAAAAAAGUAUAUUAGUACUUGAUAUCAGGAUUUUAGACUAAUAAUUUGUCAUGAUCUACAUAAGUUUGCAGUAACAGUUUCUUCUAGGGAGAAGAAUCUGAUAGCCUGUCACAAAGACAUUUGCAAUGUAUCAUCAAGCAUUCCCCAGUUCUUUUGUCGUCACAGAUUCUUCACAACUUGUCACUGCAUCACUUUUCAUCAAACCGACAGUCCACGUAUCAAAAUUUUGAAUACAUCCUAGGAAACAAAAUUCAUCCCAGAGUUAAGGUCAAUACAAUAGCUAGGCAAAAUGGAACACGUUACAAUCUAACUUUGAUUUUGAUCCAAAUUUUCAUGGAAGUGAACAAAGUGGAAAAUUAAAGAUAAAUGGUUGUACCUUGAUUGCAUUAGUGCUCUCUAGUUCAGUGAUUUUACCAUCUUCUUCAUGAUUUUCAUGUAGUGGCUCUUCGUUUGCAGGCAUUAUAAUUUAUUUUUAUUUUUUUGAUUUACGUGGGUAUCCGGGCCAGCUUGCGCGCACCACGACUAAUUUCACGGCUCGCUGAACAUCCUGCAAACCCAGUGAGCAUGUAAGGCACUGCGGGAGUGACAGGCGUACACGCUGAGGCUUGAACCCAGGAUGCAGAGGUAAGGAAACUCCUUGCCACCGCUGGGCUACAAGCCUCGGUGUCAGGCAUUAUAAUUUCAUUCCACCACUGGUUGAUCUUCGUCAUGUUGUUCCUCAUUUUCUUCAGCCACUAUUAUUAAACACCAAUUCCAAAAUUUUCAUUAUAAUUAGACCCAAUUAUCUUAAAGAACAAUUAAAAUUACACUACAAGAUUUAACAGUUUUACCGAUGAAAUUUUUCCGUCGGCGUAAUUAAGACACAUAUUCCAUCGGUAAUUAAUUUACCGACGAAAUCACCGACGAAAAUUCUCCGUCGGUGAAUUUUUGUCCGUCGGUAAAUCCGUUGGUAAUAAAAAAAAUAUUAUUACCGAUGGAUUUACUGGCGGAAUAGACGCGUCAGUAAAAAUAUUUUUUUAUUACCGACGGAAAGUUCCGUCGGUAUUAUUUAAAAACAUUUUAAAAAAAAUUCAUUUUAUAAAAUUAUAAAAUAAUUAAAUUAACAUAAAUCAACAUUGCAUAAUAUAUACUCAAAAUGCUUGGGAAAAAAAAAGAAUAAGAAAAUCAACUCAAACAAAUUUGCAACAAAUAAAUAAAACAAAAGAAUUAGUUCAACUAAAAAAAAUCAUAUGAAAAAAAUGAAGUUCCAAUUGCUAAAAAUUUAAAAAUCCUAUAAAUAAAUCAACUAAAAAUUGAUCUCAUAUGAAAAAAAAAAUUCACAACAACAUCUAUACAAUUAUGAAGAACAAAAUCAAUUAAAAAUAAAAUAAAAAAACAAAUAUAGUGAAAACAAUCAUGAAAAAAUAAGAAAAAAGAAAAAUAUUACCUUAAUGUACUUGCAAGUGAAGCUAAGGAAUUUUUUUUUGUAAAGCAUAUUAAUUAAAAAAGAAACUAAGAGGAUAAAAGAAGAAAGAAGAAGAAGACAUACCCGAGCAUGGAGGAAAAGAGAAGGAGAUGAGGAGAGAAAAGAAGAAAAAAAAUAAAUAUUGAUGUUUUUUACAUAUAGUGAAGAAGAAGAAGUAGAAGAAGAAGAAGAAGAAAUAAUGAGUCUGUCUCUUGUGAAAUAAGCGGAGUCAGGUUUUUUAUUGGGGCGCGUUACCGACGGAUUUACCGAAGAAUAAUUGAAUAUUAAUAUUUUUUAAUUAUUCCAUCUGUAAUUUCGUAAAAAGUUUUCAGAAACCGUCAAAAAUUACUGACGAUUUUUCAAUCCGUCGGUGAUUCCGUCUGUAAUAUUUAAAUGAAAAUUUUAAAUCAAUUGAAUUUUUUCAGAAAACCGUCAAAUAACACCCACGUAUUUUCAAUCCGUCGGUGAUUUUGUCCGUAAAGAACAACACUUAACAGUGCAAUUGGAAGGUGAACAGUUCUGGAGCUCUCUGGAAAAUACCGACAGCAAAUUCCGUCGAUAAUUCCCUUUGUAAUUGACAUGAUGAACAAUAUUCACAGUUUACCAACGGAUUUACCAAAUUACCGACGGAAAAAAUUUCGUCGUGUCGGUAAUUCUGUUGGUAAAAAAUGACACGUUAUCAUUUUUUUUGCUUUGUUUUAAUUUUUUUUCCCACGGUAAUUCCCUCGGUAUUUCCAUUUGUAUUUAUUGAUUUUCUGGUAGUGUUAACCCAAGAAUCCAAAAAAGUAAAAAAAAAUUAAUAAUAAUAAUAAUAAAAAAAACCACAUAUCUGCUUCUCUAUAAGUAUUUUAGAAAACCAUUUUAAUACUUCGGUGUGAGCUUUACAACCAUCAAGCCUUAGACUGUUGAAGCAGUAAAUGGAGGGACAAUGAUUUGUUCUUCUCCACGUAAGGAUUUCAGGUCGACGAUGCAGGGAGUAAAAACCAGAGGCGAAAAAGAAAAAACAAAGCUUGGGAAUAAAUUCUUACCUUAUUCUCGAUAGCAAGCAAAACAAGAGGCACUGAGAGAGUGGAGAGUGAAAAGUGGAGAUUGGGGAUAAUUAGAUUCAGAAUUUCAAAUCUUAAAUAUUUAGCAGACAAUUAGUAAAAAUGGAGAGUAAAGAGUACUGCGAACAGGGAAAGGGAGGGGGUGGGGAAGGGAAAGGGGAAACUGGGGAAGGGGAAAGGGCAACGGGAAAGGGUGGAGGCGCUGCAACUGUUUUAUAUUUCACGUGAAAUCGUGAAAUCGGUUCGUGUUUAAUGUUUUUUCCGAGUUAGACUGAUUUUAUACAAGUUUGACCGGGUUUGACCGAUUUUACUGGUUUUCAAGUUUUAAAUCCGAUUUUGCACGUUUUAUAUGUUUUGACUCGUAAAAUGGUAUGAUUUUACGAGUUAAAACGUGAUUUUGAUAAUCUUGCAACCACAGCCAUGCACAUAAGGGCAAUACCGUCUGUUUAUCCAAACUUACAUAAGCAUGCAUGAUUAAUAAGAAACUGGUCCCUAGUUAACUUCCAUAAAUGAUGAAGCUUUUCAGACACGAAGAUUCGUGAGAUUUUCAUAAACAUUUGAAGACAUGAUGGAGCUCGUUAAUUUCUGGAUAUCAAGUAGCUCAAAAAUUCUGUUCGGGGAGUUGAAACAAAACGGCAAUCUUCCAUGCAAGUCAGAAAAGGUAUAGCGGUUAACAAAAAAACUGAUGCUUAUAGCUACAUGAACCAAUCAAAACUUUUAAGGAGCAUAAAAGACUGUUCAAUCAUUCUCAGAUUGGCCUCAUAUUCCGACAUCUAUCAUGCAUGUAUAAUGUAUCGAGAGAGACCGAAGAGUUAGUAUUGUCAAUUAAAACCUAUUAUGAGGUUUGAUGCAAGCUUUGUGUCUGUCAAGAGCUUACAUUCAGCAGAACUAGACAUGCUAUUUGUGAAAGAUUGAACCUGCAGAGUUAGCUGUUGGAUAGUUUCCUUUCACUGUUUGAUUUAUUAUUUUUUUGUAAGGUCCUUUGGCCUUCAAUUUUUGGAUGUUGCAGAUAAUUUUGUUUUCACAUCAGUCCAAUCACUGAAAAUUGAUUCAUUCCUUGAAAUGAUAAUUCUCAAUUCUCUAUAAAGGAUCUAGUCCAUUUCCUCUUCCUUCCUUCCCUUUUCCUUGCCGAAAUCAUGUUUUUGUUAUUAGGCAUGGGAUGUUUCUUAAAGCAUUAUUUAUCCCAUUGUCUCAAUCUUCUCGUGUAUAUAUAGAGAGAUAAGGAAGAUAUCAAUCUGAAAAGUCAAUAGCACAGACAAUUUAGACAAGUAAUAAGAAUCCUACAAGAGGAAAAGUAGAUCAAAAGGUUCUGCAAUGUUGAUACUUGGUCAAACCGGUUGAUUUGUUAUAUUUAGUUUUAAAAAUGUACAAUAUUUGUCGCCAACAGUGCAGCUUUGGAUUUUGGAAUAUUGAUUCUUCCAGCCAAAAAUACUAGGUUAUCUUAUUAGCUUAAUCGUUAUCUUAUUAGUGGGGGCAGAGGAAGAAUAUUUAUGAUCAUCCGUGCCCAAUCGUUAUCUUAUUAGCUUUGAAAUCCGUGUCAUUGUGCAAUUUUAAUCAAUUUAUUAGCUCAACCUAUAAUUUCAAAAUAGUUUAUUCACUGCAAUCGCUUGAAUUUAUAAAAAAAAAAAAAAAAAAAAAACAUCAAGGCAGACCAAAGGGUUUUUUUGGUGUGCAGUAAUGCAGUUUGUAAUGUUUUUCAAAGACAUUUUUUAUAUCUUUUAAUUUUUAACCUUAACACGUCAAAUUAAUUAAAAAUAUUAAAUAAAUAUUUUUAAAAUAAAAAUAAUUUAAAAAACUACUACAACCACGGUAUCAUAGAUAGGCUAACACUACACAUCUUAUAACUGAAAUGGUACCACGUGUAACAUAUGAAUACAGCAAAAGAGAGGAAAAACAUAAAACAUUCUCAUUCUUCCCAGUACAUUAAAUCCCUCAACCAACACAUAGCAUCCAGAUUUCCUCUCUCUACCAAUCCCACUUGCUCACAAAUUGUUAAAAAUAAAACCAUCUGCUCCUUGUUUUUUUUAUUUAUAUAUAAUUCUAAUUGAUUAAAAAAAGUAAAAACGAGGCAUAUAUAAUUUUAUAAUUCCCAUCCGCUUCUAAUGCGAUGAGGAUGCCUGAAAUCAUAGGUCAGCAAUAAGCUUCCAUCCAUUCUCUUCAAGGCAAACCUCUCAACCAAAACAUAGCAACCAAAUCUCCUCCACUUCCCCUUGCCAUCAAAAACCUCUUCUCUCUUCACCCUCACCUCCCUUUCAUCCCCGCUAGCACCCCCUACUCCUUGCACCCACUUCAUUCCCUCCACAAUCUCCAUUCUCAGUCCCACACUUGCUUCUGAUCCUGUCACUCUGUUGAAACUCCUGAACCACGUCACCCCAUCAACAACAUCCCUUUGGUCCGCCACAGCUUCUGUCCCACCAACUGUAACAACUUCACAUUCAACAGCAACAUCCACAGUUACAGUAUUGCCUUCAUUAUACAUAUCUUCACAAGCAAAGAUUUGCUCCCAUUGUUGCUCGAGUGUCAUCUCAUAAUAGGUUGAAUGUUUCAUUUGAUCUUUAAGAGCUGUCCCUUCCUUGAUAAACAUGAAAGGGCAAUACCACUUCCCCGCUACUACAGGCGGGGAACAUUUUUGUGACACUGGGAAGUUGAAGUCCGGGAGGCGGGCGCGGAGAGCUGUGUUAAGGCCUGGUGCUUCAUUUAGCUGGAACUCCUUUGAAGUUGAGGUAUACACUCGCCAGCCCUUUCUCCUCAGGAAAUCUGGAGGAAACCCAUCUGAAGCUACGGAUUUAGCAGCAAAAUCUCCCCGUUUACGGUGUUGAAUCUCAAAUUGCUGAUAAAUGUUUCUUGGGUCCAAAGGUUGCGGUUUUAAAUCAGAUAUACGGGUGCAGAAACAGCAUGUUUUCAUAUCCUCUUCCUUGGAGUUUAUGUAAGCUUCCCUGAAAGCCAAUAUGAGUGUGGAUUUAUUAAGAAUUGGCUAAUUAAAACGAGCGAGAAAAAAAAAAGGAAAUGUUUGCGCCCAUUUUCUUAAUCCAGAAACGCAGCGGUGAUUCAUAUGUUAGGUUCCCAGCUGACGCAAUCUUUCCAUGUUGUUUGAGAUCUUGAAUUGAUUUCAAAGAUAUAGAGGAUAUGGGAAAAAAAAAAAGCAAAAGAAAAACAAAACAAGGUGAAGUUGGAGGUAGAGCACACACAUACCCUUUAUGCUUCCCUUUUCUCUCAACCACGUAGUAUUGAUUGGAAGAUAAUGGCUGAUUGAGAACAGGAGUGAAAAGAACACGGUUCGUAUGAACGUGUUGAUUCUCCCCAGUUUGCUGCGUAUACGUAACCAUCAAGUUCUUGUUUUGAGGAAAAGGCAGGCCCCAGCUUACUCGAUCACUCUUGAACAAUCCACAACAGAAGGUAGGCACUGCAACUUCUUCAUCCUGGAUUACCAAUACACCAGAAUUUGGACCCUCGGGAGGCGGUGAUGAAAGAGCUGAAGGAUCUCUUAGAUACAUCGAAAGAGGCCUUGUCACAUACAUUUCCUCUCAAACUUUUCUCUGCGUAUA
RNAcentral lists this long non-coding RNA (7535 nucleotides) under Populus tremula. RNAcentral's name for it is "long non-coding RNA (PTRE_LNC002773)". The record is from RNAcentral. Lineage: Eukaryota; Viridiplantae; Streptophyta; Magnoliopsida; Malpighiales; Salicaceae.